UGGGGAAUAUUGCACAAUGGGCGCAAGCCUGAUGCAGCAACGCCGCGUGAGUGAAGAAGGCCUUCGGGUCGUAAAGCUCUGUCCUCUGGGACGAAUGAAAUGACGGUACCAGAGGAGGAAGCCCCGGCUAACUACGUGCCAGCAGCCGCGGUAAUACGUAGGGGGCAAGCGUUAUCCGGAAUCACUGGGCGUAAAGGGUGCGUAGGCGGCCUGUCAAGUCAGAGGUGAAAGGCAAUGGCUUAACCAUUGUAAGCCUUUGAAACUGAUGGGCUUGAGUGCAGGAGAGGUAAGUGGAAUUCCUAGUGUAGCGGUGAAAUGCGUAGAUAUUAGGAGGAACACCAGUGGCGAAGGCGACUUACUGGACUGUAACUGACGCUGAGGCACGAAAGCGUGGGGAGCGAACA
Molecule: ribosomal RNA, 404 nt
Filed under: uncultured bacterium
Lineage: Bacteria
Description: bacterial SSU rRNA
Rfam family: Bacterial small subunit ribosomal RNA
Source: RNAcentral